CUCAGCCUCCUCCACACCUACCUCGACUUCUUCAAAGCCUCGAUGAAAUACUUAAGGUGAUGAACAUGCUAAAAUGAAAUAAUAAAAUAUUAGAUAUGAAGGCAAUAAGCUUGGUAUAUAGUGAGGAGGAGAAGUGAUCCGAACUCACCUAGAGGAGCGAAUCGUAGGCAUUGCAAGCGUGAUACUCGAAGCCCUCUACCUUGAUGAGUUCC
Molecule: long non-coding RNA, 212 nt
Filed under: Elaeis guineensis (African oil palm)
Lineage: Eukaryota; Viridiplantae; Streptophyta; Magnoliopsida; Arecales; Arecaceae
Description: long non-coding RNA (EGUI_LNC065436)
Source: RNAcentral